RNAcentral lists this ribosomal RNA (459 nucleotides) under uncultured bacterium. RNAcentral's name for it is "partial 16S ribosomal RNA". It matches the Rfam family "Bacterial small subunit ribosomal RNA", at positions 338 to 795 of the family's 1533-position model. The record is from RNAcentral.
CCUACGGGUGGCAGCAGUGAGGAAUAUUGGUCAAUGGGCGUAAGCCUGAACCAGCCAAGUCGCGUGAGGGAUGAAGGUUCUAUGGAUCGUAAACCUCUUUUGUCGGGGAGCAAAGAGAGUCACGUGUGACUCAUUGAGAGUACCCGAAGAAAAAGCAUCGGCUAACUCCGUGCCAGCAGCCGCGGUAAUACGGAGGAUGCGAGCGUUAUGCGGAUUUAUUGGGUUUAAAGGGGUCGCAGGGGGAGGUGCAAGUCAGCGGUCAAAUUGCGGGGCUCAACCCCGGACUGCCGUUGAAACUGCAUCCCUUGAGUGCGCGAGAAGUAUGCGGAAUGCGUGGUGUAGCGGUGAAAUGCAUAGAUAUCACGCAGAACUCCGAUUGCGAAGGCAGCAUACCGGCGCGCAACUGACGCUCAUGCACGAAAGCGUGGGUAUCGAACAGGAUUAGAUACCCGAGUAGUC